UGACUAUUAAUAAUCAAAUAUUAAUAGUUCAUGAAUGUGUAUGAUUGAAUUAAAAACAGAUGAAUCAAAGGACUGAUUUAUUUUAUUCUAUUUUUGAUCUAUGUGAUGAACACGGAGUUCUACCACCCAGAUGCUGUUUAAGGAAGGAUCCUUUGCCCCAGCACUGAGGAGUGGCUCAGGCUGUCACUAGCUUCAGGGUUUGACUCAGCUGCAGAGAGCUGCCUUGUCCAAGGACCAAUUGUGUGCAAAGUAAUGCUAGGAAGUGGCUGCCCAGCCAAGAACUACAUUGCCUGCACGUCUUGCAUAUAAAGGAGUCAUGUGACUAGUUUUUGCCAACAGAAUUUUCAUGAGCAAAAGUAAUUAAGAAGCAUGGGGAUCAUUUCCACUUUCUUUCUUCUCAGAUGCAAUGAUUAGGCAUGCCUUGGAGAUAUUGCAUAUUCCGUUCCAGACCACUACAGUGAAGCAAAUAUCACAAUGAAGAUCUUGUGGAAAUUAAUAAACAGAAACCUCAUUAAAAUGGAACUGAGAGGCCAAAAGGGGGAGCUCCCAUGCCCUACAUCAACAGCAGAACCCAACAGGAAGAAGAAAGCCUUCCUCUUCUUGUCUGUGAUUGCCGGAUGUGUGAGAAACAAUGACAGUGGAAGAGAUAUCAAUCAAACUUUCAUGGCAUUUUCCUGUGUUUUAAGAACAUCCAACUCCUUUUUGUUUUCCCUAGAACCAGGUAAAUAUUUGAUUGCUUUUAAAUUAAAAACACUACUUGUCAUUAUUUUUUCCUCUUUACACUUGGA
Long non-coding RNA from Diceros bicornis minor, 788 nucleotides. RefSeq lists it as uncharacterized. The transcript has 5 exons. The record is from RefSeq and is a predicted model, not a curated record. NCBI's taxonomy places the organism in Eukaryota, Metazoa, Chordata, Mammalia, Perissodactyla, Rhinocerotidae.